CAUACUUUCACUACCUACCCUACAAGGAUGCUAUUUGGAAAACAAAUUACAAUCCUUAAAGUGUUACAGAAGUGUUAGUUAAUAUAAUCAUCAUCCUGUGUAUAUGCAAACCCUCCAGUAUAUUCAAAGACAAAGUUUCUGGAUUUGACUACUCAGUCUUGGCAUCUGCCUUCCAACCUGAUGCCCCAGGAAAAGGGAGUCUGAUCCAAGACUUUUCUCUUGUAAUGUGCACUGAGAAUCCAAAGAACAACUCACAUGCAUAUUGCAUGACAAGGUUUACUGAAUACAUUAACGUGUAAUGCUUCAUUGAGUUCGGUGUUGUCUGUCCCCUUUUUCACUGAUGGAAAAACAAGCUCAGAGAGCUCUGGAUUUAUGACUCUGUCAAGUACUAGAUACCAACACAAACAUGAUACUGAUACUUGCCCUAAAUUGAGCUUUCAUUCUUAUGCAUGGAAAUUGGGAAGGAAGAUGGCACUAUAUGUGCAGAGAGGCAGGAGAAAGGAAUGAUCAUCAGAGAGCAAUAGGAAGUUAUUUCCAGAUUUCAGGCUUCACAAGGAGAAAGGUCUCUUGCUACUUUGGAGAUGAAAAAAAAAUGGAGGAACAGAGGAAAUGUUCAGUAUCCUAUCUCUCCUGGAACUUCAUACAAAUAAUUAGCAUGUAUUUCAGUGAAUAUUUAGCUGGAAUUCCUAGGACUACACAACAAUGGUUUUGCCAUCAACAUGAAAGACAUGUCUGGGAACUUUAAUCAAAAACAAUGAAUCUCUCAAAUGGAUGUGCUUGGGCUUCUUUCUCUCCUUUCUUCCUUCUUUCUUUCCUGGAUUAUGUAUGUACAUUAUAAAUAACAUGUGUACUAUAUAGAACAUGGUUCCCCAUCUGGGUUUCUGCUUUGCAGCAUGAAAUCCCACUAUCUGAAAUCUGCCAAGCCAGAGGGAGAUGUAUCCCUCAGGUUCAUUUGCCUCAGAUUAUUCAUUCCAACUGGUACAACGAUGCAACAGAUACAACUACUUUGUAUCUGAGUCCAGCUCAUAUGUAGAGUGCCACUCAUUCAAGCAGCUUUGGGUGCUAUAUGUCUUUCCUCCAUUAUCCCUUUAAAUGC
This 1096-nucleotide long non-coding RNA is filed under the name Monodelphis domestica (gray short-tailed opossum). RNAcentral's name for it is "lncRNA (ENSMODG00000038754.1)". Lineage: Eukaryota; Metazoa; Chordata; Mammalia; Didelphimorphia; Didelphidae. The record is from RNAcentral.